Molecule: ribosomal RNA, 397 nt
Filed under: uncultured bacterium
Lineage: Bacteria
Description: partial 16S ribosomal RNA
Rfam family: Bacterial small subunit ribosomal RNA
Source: RNAcentral
AUACGUAGGGGGCGAGCGUUGUCCGGAAUGAUUGGGCGUAAAGGGCGCGUAGGCGGCGCGGUAAGUCUGGAGUGAAAGUCCUGCUUUCAAGGUGGGAAUUGCUUUGGAUACUGCCGCGCUUGAGUGCAGGAGAGGUUAUCGGAAUUCCCGGUGUAGCGGUGAAAUGCGUAGAGAUCGGGAGGAACACCAGUGGCGAAGGCGGGUAACUGGACUGCAACUGACGCUGAGGCGCGAAAGUGUGGGGAGCAAACAGGAUUAGAUACCCUGGUAGUCCACACUGUAAACGAUGAAUGCUAGGCGUAAGAGGUAUCGACCCCUUUUGUGCCGGAGUCAACACAAUAAGCAUUCCGCCUGGGGAGUACGGCCGCAAGGUUGAAACUCAAAUGAAUUGACGGGG